GAUGAAGAACUCAGCGAAAUGCGAUAAGUAGUGUGAAUUGCAGAAUUCAGUGAAUCAUCGAAUCUUUGAACGCACAUUGCGCCCCUUGGUACUCCAUGGGGCAUGCCUGUUCGAGCGUCAUUUACACCCUCAAGCUCAGCUUGGUGUUGGGCGUCUGUCCCGCUUCGUGCGCGGACUCGCCUCAAAUGCAUUGGCAGCGGUCUUGCCAGCUUCUCGCGCAGCACAUUGCGCUUCUAGAGGCUUUGGCGGAUCGGCGUCCAUCAAGUACACCCACAGUUUGACCUCGGAUCAGGUAGGGAUACCCGCUGAACUUAAGCAUAUCAAUAAGCGGAGGA
This 335-nucleotide unclassified non-coding RNA is filed under the name soil metagenome. Its description in RNAcentral is "partial contains 5.8S ribosomal RNA, internal transcribed spacer 2, and large subunit ribosomal RNA". The stretch from base 1 to 120 matches the Rfam family "5.8S ribosomal RNA", at positions 35 to 154 of the family's 154-position model. The record is from RNAcentral.